Molecule: transfer RNA, 75 nt
Filed under: Microgenomates group bacterium ADurb.Bin238
Lineage: Bacteria
Description: tRNA-Ala
Rfam family: tRNA
About the family: Transfer RNA (tRNA) molecules are approximately 80 nucleotides in length. Their secondary structure includes four short double-helical elements and three loops (D, anti-codon, and T loops).
Source: RNAcentral
GGGCCUGUAGCUCACCUGGUAGAGCGUGGCAUUCGCAUUGCCAAGGUAGGCGGUUCGACUCCGCCCAGGUCCACC